Molecule: ribosomal RNA, 531 nt
Filed under: uncultured bacterium
Lineage: Bacteria
Description: bacterial SSU rRNA
Rfam family: Bacterial small subunit ribosomal RNA
Source: RNAcentral
AAAUAGAUACCCCAGGUAGUCCACGCCGUAAACGAUGAGUGCUAAGUGUUAGGGGGUUUCCGCCCCUUAGUGCUGCAGCUAACGCAUUAAGCACUCCGCCUGGGGAGUACGGUCGCAAGACUGAAACUCAAAGGAAUUGACGGGGGCCCGCACAAGCGGUGGAGCAUGUGGUUUAAUUCGAAGCAACGCGAAGAACCUUACCAGGUCUUGACAUCCCGCUGACCGGUCUAGAGAUAGACUUUUCCCUUCGGGGACAGCGGUGACAGGUGGUGCAUGGUUGUCGUCAGCUCGUGUCGUGAGAUGUUGGGUUAAGUCCCGCAACGAGCGCAACCCUUGAUCUUAGUUGCCAGCAUUCAGUUGGGCACUCUAAGGUGACUGCCGGUGAUAAACCGGAGGAAGGUGGGGAUGACGUCAAAUCAUCAUGCCCCUUAUGACCUGGGCUACACACGUGCUACAAUGGACGGUACAGAGGGUCGCAACCCCGCGAGGGUGAGCUAAUCCCAUAAAACCGUUCUCAGUUCGGAUUGUAGG